This 406-nucleotide ribosomal RNA is filed under the name uncultured Acidimicrobiia bacterium. RNAcentral describes it as "bacterial SSU rRNA". It matches the Rfam family "Bacterial small subunit ribosomal RNA", at positions 355 to 776 of the family's 1533-position model. The record is from RNAcentral. Lineage: Bacteria; Bacillati; Actinomycetota; Acidimicrobiia.
UAGGGAAUCUUGCGCAAUGGGCGAAAGCCUGACGCAGCAACGCCGCGUGGGGGACGAAGGCUUUCUGAGUUGUAAACCCCUUUCAGCAGGGACGAUUGUGACGGUACCUGCAGAAGAAGCACCGGCUAACUACGUGCCAGCAGCCGCGGUGAUACGUAGGGUGCAAGCGUUGUCCGGAUUUAUUGGGCGUAAAGAGCUCGUAGGCGGUUCGAUAAGUCGGGUGUGAAACCCCCAGGCUCAACCUGGGGCCUGCACUCGAUACUGUCGUGACUAGAGUCCGGUAGGGGACCAUGGAAUUCCUGGUGUAGCGGUGAAAUGCGCAGAUAUCAGGAGGAACACCAGCAGCGAAGGCGGUGGUCUGGGCCGGCACUGACGCUGAGGAGCGAAAGCGUGGGGAGCGAACAGG